RNAcentral lists this transfer RNA (75 nucleotides) under Acidobacteriota bacterium. RNAcentral's name for it is "Acidobacteria bacterium tRNA-His". It matches the Rfam family "tRNA". From Rfam's summary of the family: Transfer RNA (tRNA) molecules are approximately 80 nucleotides in length. Their secondary structure includes four short double-helical elements and three loops (D, anti-codon, and T loops). Further hydrogen bonds mediate the characteristic L-shaped molecular structure. tRNAs have two regions of fundamental functional importance: the anti-codon, which is responsible for specific mRNA codon recognition, and the 3' end, to which the tRNAs corresponding amino acid is attached (by aminoacyl-tRNA synthetases). tRNAs cope with the degeneracy of the genetic code in two manners: having more than one tRNA (with a specific anti-codon) for a particular amino acid; and 'wobble' base-pairing, i.e. permitting non-standard base-pairing at the 3rd anti-codon position. The record is from RNAcentral. Lineage: Bacteria; Pseudomonadati; Acidobacteriota.
GUGGGCGUAGCUCAAUGGUAGAGCCCCUGGUUGUGGUCCAGGUGGUUGGGGGUUCGAGUCCCCUCGCCCACCCCA